GCCAGCAGCCAUACACCCUGCAACUCACAACUGGCAACCCACUGAAGCUCAGCAGGUGUGAGCCUGGUCAGUACCUGGAUGGGAGACCUCCUGGGAAAAACUAAGGUUGCUGCUGGAA
Molecule: ribosomal RNA, 118 nt
Organism: Lepisosteus oculatus (spotted gar)
Lineage: Eukaryota; Metazoa; Chordata; Actinopteri; Semionotiformes; Lepisosteidae
Source: Ensembl